RNAcentral lists this ribosomal RNA (464 nucleotides) under uncultured bacterium. Its description in RNAcentral is "partial 16S ribosomal RNA". It matches the Rfam family "Bacterial small subunit ribosomal RNA", at positions 28 to 507 of the family's 1533-position model. The record is from RNAcentral.
GACGAACGCUGGCGGCGUGCUUAACACAUGCCAGUCGAACGGUAAGGCCCCAGCUUGCUGGGGUACACGAGUGGCGAACGGGUGAGUAACACGUGGGUGACCUGCCCCGCACUUCGGGAUAAGCCUGGGAAACUGGGUCUAAUACCGGAUAGGACCGCACCGUGAGGGUGUGGUGGAAAGUUUUUCGGUGUGGGAUGGGCCCGCGGCCUAUCAGCUUGUUGGUGGGGUAAUGGCCUACCAAGGCGGCGACGGGUAGCCGGCCUGAGAGGGUGGACGGCCACAUUGGGACUGAGACACGGCCCAGACUCCUACGGGAGGCAGCAGUGGGGAAUAUUGCACAAUGGGCGGAAGCCUGAUGCAGCGACGCCGCGUGGGGGAUGACGGCCUUCGGGUUGUAAACUCCUUUCACCAUCGACGAAGGUUUUCUGACGGUAGAUGGAGAAGAAGCACCGGCUAACUACGUG